This 378-nucleotide ribosomal RNA is filed under the name uncultured bacterium. RNAcentral describes it as "partial 16S ribosomal RNA". It matches the Rfam family "Bacterial small subunit ribosomal RNA", at positions 338 to 733 of the family's 1533-position model. The record is from RNAcentral.
CCUACGGGUGGCUGCAGUGGGGGAUAUUGCACAAUGGGCGGAAGCCUGAUGCAGCGACGCCGCGUGGGGGAUGAAGCUCCUCGGCGCGUAAAGCUCUGUCAGCAGGGAAGAAAAGGACCUUACCUGAAGAACAAGGCAUGGACAAUACCGUGACAGCAGGCGCGGUAACACGCAGGGGGCGAGCGUUAACCGGAUUUACUGGGGGUAACGGGGGCGGAGGCGGCAUGGCAAGCCAGGGGUGAAAGCCGCGGGCUCAACGCGGGAACUGCGCUGGGAACUGGGUGGCUGGAGUGCAGGAGAGGCAAGCGGAAUUCCUGGUGUAGCGGUGAAAUGCGUAGAUAUCAGGAGGAACACCGGUGGCGAAGGCGACCUGCUGGA